Molecule: long non-coding RNA, 491 nt
Organism: Oxyura jamaicensis (ruddy duck)
Lineage: Eukaryota; Metazoa; Chordata; Aves; Anseriformes; Anatidae
Exons: 4
Source: RefSeq, a predicted model, not a curated record
AGAAAUCUACUGCUGGUGCCAGAGCUCCAUGAUUUCUAUCAAAAGCUUGCCACUCCGUGCAGUAGAGGUUCUGUCAUGUGAUAUUACUCCACGCAGAGGGAAGUCGGAGCAGCCCUGCACGCUGCUUUACACCACUGGAAAACAUUGAGCCGUGGCUGCGGGAAGCUCGUAGUCAGGAGCUGCGUGGGUACAGGGGAGUCCCAUCACCUCAGCUUCACCCAUGUCCAUGCUUCUGCAGCAGAAAUAUUCCUGUUGGGCAAUGCCAGAGUCCCAGGAGCGGCCUCAAAAGCAGGAGCACCAGGCUGUCGCCCACUGAAUGCUCCACUUCUCUGCCAGCAGCCAUUCCUUCCCCUCGCCCCAUGCUGCACCCCCUCCGCAAGACCGUGGUGUUUAGGUGGGCAGUUACAGCACUGGGGAGCAAAGCACAGCCCGGAAGGGGAGAAGUAAAUAAAGUGAGAUAUCAAGAUGAGUUAGUUCAUGUAGAUCCUAAA